GAUGAACGCUAGCUACAGGCUUAACACAUGCAAGUCGCGGGGCAGCAUGGGGGUUGCUUGCAAUCCCCGAUGGCGACCGGCGCACGGGUGAGUAACGCGUAUCCAACCUGCCCUUCACCACGGGAUAACCCGGCGAAAGUCGGACUAAUACCGUAUGUUGUCCAUUGACGGCAUCCGAUUUGGACGAAAGGUUUGGCGGUGAAGGAUGGGGAUGCGUCCGAUUAGCUGGACGGCGGGGUGACGGCCCACCGUGGCGACGAUCGGUAGGGGUUCUGAGAGGAAGGUCCCCCACACUGGAACUGAGACACGGUCCAGACUCCUACGGGAGGCAGCAGUGAGGAAUAUUGGUCAAUGGGCGUAAGCCUGAACCAGCCAAGUAGCGUGCAGGAUGACGGCCCUAUGGGUUGUAAACUGCUUUUAUGCGGGGAUAAAGUGGCCCACGUGUGGGUUUUUGCAGUUACCGCAUGAAUAAGGACCGGCUAAUUCCGUG
This 490-nucleotide ribosomal RNA is filed under the name uncultured bacterium. RNAcentral's name for it is "partial 16S ribosomal RNA". It matches the Rfam family "Bacterial small subunit ribosomal RNA", at positions 28 to 507 of the family's 1533-position model. The record is from RNAcentral.